UACGGAGGGGGCUAGCGUUGUUCGGAAUUACUGGGCGUAAAGCGCGCGUAGGCGGACCUGCAAGUCGGGGGUGAAAGCCCGAGGCUCAACCUCGGAACUGCCUUCGAUACUGCGGGUCUCGAGUCCGGGGGAGGUGAGUGGAAUUCCUAGUGUAGAGGUGAAAUUCGUAGAUAUUAGGAAGAACACCAGUGGCGAAGGCGGCUCACUGGCCCGGUACUGACGCUG
Molecule: ribosomal RNA, 225 nt
Filed under: uncultured bacterium
Lineage: Bacteria
Description: partial 16S ribosomal RNA
Rfam family: Bacterial small subunit ribosomal RNA
Source: RNAcentral